ACAGCAGCCGCCGCGGGAAUACGUAGGUGGCAAGCGUUGUCCGGAAUUAUUGGGCGUAAAGGGCUCGCAGGCGGUUUCUUAAGUCUAAUGUGAAAGCCCCCGGCUCAACCGGGGAGGGUCAUUGGAAACUGGGAAACUUGAGUGCAGAGGAGGAGAGUGGAAUUCCAUGUGUAGCGGUGAAAUGCGUAGAGAUGUGGAGGAACACCAGUGGCGAAGGCGACUCUCUGGUCUGUAACUGACGCUGAGGAGCGAAAGCGUGGGGAGCGAACAGGAUUAGAUACCCCGGUAGUCCCUGUCUCUUAUAC
Molecule: ribosomal RNA, 305 nt
Filed under: uncultured bacterium
Lineage: Bacteria
Description: partial 16S ribosomal RNA
Rfam family: Bacterial small subunit ribosomal RNA
Source: RNAcentral